This 240-nucleotide ribosomal RNA is filed under the name uncultured Bacteroidota bacterium. Its description in RNAcentral is "uncultured Bacteroidetes bacterium partial 16S ribosomal RNA". It matches the Rfam family "Bacterial small subunit ribosomal RNA", at positions 95 to 334 of the family's 1533-position model. Lineage: Bacteria; Pseudomonadati; Bacteroidota. The record is from RNAcentral.
CCGGCGCACGGGUGAGUAACGCGUAUGCAACUUACCUAUCAGAGGGGGAUAACCCGGCGAAAGUCGGACUAAUACCGCAUGAAGCAGGGGCCCCGCAUGGGGAUAUUUGCUAAAGAUUCAUCGCUGAUAGAUAGGCAUGCGUUCCAUUAGGCAGUUGGCGGGGUAACGGCCCACCAAGACAUCGAUGGAUAGGGGUUCUGAGAGGAAGGUCCCCCACAUUGGAACUGAGACACGGUCCAA